UACAGAGGGGGCAAGCGUUGUUCGGAAUUACUGGGCGUAAAGGGCGCGUAGGCGGCCGCCUAAGUCAGACGUGAAAUCCCUCGGCUCAACCGGGGAACUGCGUCUGAUACUGGGUGGCUUGAAUCCGGGAGAGGGAUGCGGAAUUCCAGGUGUAGCGGUGAAAUGCGUAGAUAUCUGGAGGAACACCGGUGGCGAAGGCGGCAUCCUGGACCGGCAUUGACGCUGAGGCGCGAAAGCAUGGGGAUCAAACAGG
RNAcentral lists this ribosomal RNA (253 nucleotides) under uncultured bacterium. Its description in RNAcentral is "partial 16S ribosomal RNA". It matches the Rfam family "Bacterial small subunit ribosomal RNA", at positions 524 to 776 of the family's 1533-position model. The record is from RNAcentral.